CACCAUUUAGCAGCCGCUGGUAACCAGUGACUGGAGCUUCAUUGUGUGCUUUUAUUCCUGCCGUGGUUGAGUUCUUGACCUCGUGGGGCAGUAAUGAAAUCAGUGUUGAGGUUUGCUUUAUUAGCAGAGACUCUGUGCUGAUGUAUGUGAGCGUGUACCAGCUGACUGAGGUGACCCCUGCAGUGCCUAACUCAGACUUUGCAGGGGAUGGAGAGGCUUAGUCAAUUAAAUCCAGUAGGCUGCAGCCCGGGAGCACAACAGGAAGAGGAGCAGCCAUAGCGGGGUCGAGUCUGACUGAAGGGUUGGAAAAAGGAAGGGGACUUGCACUCAAAGUGGCUGGACCCUCAAGGCAACAGGUGAACAGACAUGAUUUCCUCUGUGAUGUGGAAUGUUUAAUAAAAUAUCUGCAGGAGACGCGCAGAUCUAGAAUGGAUUGGAUUUUCGUUUGUAUUUGUAAAACAUUGUCAUGAAGCGUGUUUUCUUUUCUCUAUUAAGUGAUAACAUUUGUUUCAUCAGCAUCCUCUUCAUGUGCUCUGUAUCCAUUCUGAAGAGUUUUGAGUUUUGUGCUUUCCGGACUUUAGAAUUGAAGAUGAAAUGGUUUGUUGUCAUGUGAUAAUCCACUAACGGACAUUAGAUGGUUGUUUUUUCAACACUCGCACUGACAGCUUCCAAUUGGAGUGUUUAUCUCUAGGUAAACUAAAACCACUGAAAGGCCCAGUUACAUUUUAAAACAAGAAAUAGUAUAGAUAAACUAUUCACAAAUUAAUAUUAAUCGGUUUAUUUCUUGAGGGUCGAGAAGCAUGUUUCCUUGUCGUAAAGCUUUAUUUGGGUCCCCAUGACUCGUCAAAUAAUUCCCCAGGUAAAUGAAAGGAUGUUAUUUAAGCAAUAAGGUACGAGAGGCUGUAUUUUAUCGUCCAGCAAGGAGUUUGGCUCUUGGCGGCAAAAUUAUAAAUAGUAAGUAAAUUGCUGCCUUUCAGCACAAAAUAGUUGUAGCCACCAAACGUUGUGUAUCGCAUUUCAGUAGUCUAGAGAAAAAUAGUCCCUGUACGUGCACGUAAACGUUAUUGGGUCUCCUUGCAAGAUCUCGCAGAAUCUCAUUCAUUCACAUCGCUGAUGACGUCCACCUCAAUAGUCCGGGUGCUAAAGCUCACAUUGCCCCAAA
Molecule: long non-coding RNA, 1162 nt
Organism: Gasterosteus aculeatus aculeatus (three-spined stickleback)
Lineage: Eukaryota; Metazoa; Chordata; Actinopteri; Perciformes; Gasterosteidae
Source: Ensembl